Molecule: ribosomal RNA, 253 nt
Filed under: uncultured bacterium
Lineage: Bacteria
Description: partial 16S ribosomal RNA
Rfam family: Bacterial small subunit ribosomal RNA
Source: RNAcentral
UACGAAGGGGGCUAGCGUUGUUCGGAAUUACUGGGCGUAAAGGGUGCGUAGGCGGCGCGGUAAGUCGGGUGUGAAAUCUUGGAGCUUAACUCCGAAACUGCAUUCGAUACUGCCGUGCUUGAGGACUGGAGAGGAGACUGGAAUUUACGGUGUAGCGGUGAAAUGCGUAGAUAUCGUAAGGAAGACCAGUGGCGAAGGCGGGUCUCUGGACAGUUCCUGACGCUGAGGCACGAAGGCCAGGGGAGCAAACGGG